Felis catus (domestic cat) is the source of this 1061-nucleotide long non-coding RNA. RefSeq lists it as uncharacterized. The record is from RefSeq and is a predicted model, not a curated record. The transcript has 3 exons. NCBI's taxonomy places the organism in Eukaryota, Metazoa, Chordata, Mammalia, Carnivora, Felidae.
CUGGCCUUUGUGGGCUGAGAGGCCUCUUCCUUCGGCCUCCCUGGACUGGUUCUCGGCUCCUCGAGGCUCCAGGAUGCUGGGGGCCCUGCCUUGUGGGUGAUGUGCUGAAACGCCUUCCUGGUCCACCAGCAAGAUGGCCUGCCCCCGGCAUCCCUGGGGACCAGGGUCCCUCUGACCCAGGAAGCAUGGCUCCACCCUACGACUGCCAGGCCAGGAGGCGGAGGGGGAGCACAGGCAGACCGUGAGAACCUCUGGAUUCCUCUCAACAGAGAGUCGUGAGAUCGUCCAGCCUUCGGAACAUUAUUCUCCCUUGUCUGCGCUCGAGAGAUCAGUUUGUGGAAUGGCGUGCUCUUUACCUGCUUGGACUCAAGGUUACCAUGUGGGACGACACAGCUCCAGAUGCCUGUAAGAUUCUUGGGGGCGAUGUGGCAGGACGAACAAAAAUUGAUCCUCCUUCCGAGAAUUUCUCGCCAGCGUGUUAACACCUGUGUAAAAAGUGUCUUGGGCCAAAAAAACACACAGAAUCAUCCAACAAGCAAUUGCUGCGUCCAGCCUCGUGAGGGGUCAGGGUGGGCCAGGGUGGAGGGUACAGAAUAAAUGCCAGGCGGGCUUGGGGGGGUGAGGCGAUCGGCCCUGGGCUGGCAGGUGGGUGAUUCCGGGGGAGGGGCAGAACUUUGGGGUAGACGGCCCCGAGGACCGCAAGGAACCUGCAUCCUGCCAUCACUCUCUCCUCCCUUCCUCCUGAGCCCGAUCCGCCCACUCAGCAGGCUCCAGGACACGUCCCUUGGGUGGGGUGCAGAAGACAAGCCCCCGUUCUCCCCCGGCUCCGCCCCAGAUCCCGGUCCCCCAGACCAGGCCUGCAGAAUGCCGGGAACCUCAGGGAAACAGCUACUUCUUGGUUGCGAUCUCACGGUUCGUGAGUUCGAGUUCCGAACGGGGCUCUGGGCAAACAGUGAGGAGGCUGCCUGGGAUUCUCUCUCCCCCUCUCUCUGCCCCUCCCCCGCUCACUCUCUCAAAAUAAAUAAAUCAACUUUAAAAUAAACAAGAAACUCACCACCCCA